UGAAAUCCUGAAAAAGGGAUAAAGAGAAACUUCUAAGGUGCAUAAACCCUGGUGCUCCAGUCUUAACUGAGAGUUGCAGCUUCCUCUUCCCACCUUGCUGUGCCAUUCUAAGGCUCAAGGGAGAAGGGAAAAGCCAAGGGGAAACAAAACAGCAGAACUAAACCUGGAAGAAAGGAACUUCCAUCAACAAUUUUCAGAAUGGCUGCUAUAGGACCUAGCUGCUUCUUUCUGCUCAGUUAAAGGAGCCAACCCAUAAAAAAAGAAUAUUUAAAAAAA
RNAcentral lists this long non-coding RNA (276 nucleotides) under Crocodylus porosus (Australian saltwater crocodile). Its description in RNAcentral is "lncRNA (ENSCPRG00005014801.1)". Lineage: Eukaryota; Metazoa; Chordata; Crocodylia; Crocodylidae. The record is from RNAcentral.